GAGUUUGAUCGUGGCUCAGAUUGAACGCUGGCGGCAUGCCUUACACAUGCAAGUCGAACGGCAGCACGGGGGCAACCCUGGUGGCGAGUGGCGAACGGGUGAGUAAUACAUCGGAACGUGUCCUGUAGUGGGGGAUAGCCCGGCGAAAGCCGGAUUAAUACCGCAUACGACCUAAGGGAGAAAGCGGGGGAUCUUCGGACCUCGCGCUAUAGGGGCGGCCGAUGGCAGAUUAGCUAGUUGGUGGGGUAAAGGCCUACCAAGGCGACGAUCUGUAGCUGGUCUGAGAGGACGACCAGCCACACUGGGACUGAGACACGGCCCAGACUCCUACGGGAGGCAGCAGUGGGGAAUUUUGGACAAUGGGGGCAACCCUGAUCCAGCAAUGCCGCGUGUGUGAAGAAGGCCUUCGGUUGUAAG
Molecule: ribosomal RNA, 417 nt
Filed under: uncultured beta proteobacterium
Lineage: Bacteria; Pseudomonadati; Pseudomonadota; Betaproteobacteria
Also listed under: 1 other name
Description: bacterial SSU rRNA
Rfam family: Bacterial small subunit ribosomal RNA
Source: RNAcentral